UACGAAGGGGGCUAGCGUUGUUCGGAAUUACUGGGCGUAAAGCGCACGUAGGCGGACAUUUAAGUCAGGGGUGAAAUCCCAGAGCUCAACUCUGGAACUGCCUUUGAUACUGGAUGUCUGGAGUAUGGAAGAGGUGGGUGGAAUUCCGAGUGUAGAGGUGAAAUUCGUAGAUAUUCGGAGGAACACCAGUGGCGAAGGCGGCUCACUGGUCCAUUACUGACGCUGAGGUGCGAAAGCGUGGGGAGCAAACAGG
RNAcentral lists this ribosomal RNA (253 nucleotides) under uncultured bacterium. Its description in RNAcentral is "partial 16S ribosomal RNA". It matches the Rfam family "Bacterial small subunit ribosomal RNA", at positions 524 to 776 of the family's 1533-position model. The record is from RNAcentral.